RNAcentral lists this unclassified non-coding RNA (209 nucleotides) under Hevea brasiliensis (rubber tree). Lineage: Eukaryota; Viridiplantae; Streptophyta; Magnoliopsida; Malpighiales; Euphorbiaceae. The record is from RNAcentral.
AUUUAUAAUGCAAUCCAAUGUUCUUCACCAAGAUUCUUAUUUUUUUAAAAAAUAUUUUUUUUAUAAAAAAAUCUUGCAAAUAGAAAUAGUUAUUAGCCUCUCCCAUAAAUAUAAGAAAAGAUUAAAAAAAGGGAGAAAUUCUCCUUUUGUAUUGUGUCAACUGACUCUUACUUGAUGUGUUAAUUGAUUAACGUUAUGAAUUUUUAAAA